ACGGGUGAGUAACGCGUAUCCAACCUCCCCGUUAGUAGGGCAGUAGCCCGGCGAAAGUCGGAUUAAUACCCUAUGUUAUUCGUCGAGGACAUCUGAAGUGAAUCAAAGAUUUUAUCGCUAAGGGAUGGGGGAUGGCGUCUGAUUAGGUGUGGCGGGGUAACGCCCACCAAGCCAUCGAUCAGUAGGGGUUCUGAGAGGAAGGUCCCCCACAUUGGUACUGAGACACGGACCAAACUCCUACGGGAGGCAGCAGUGAGGAAUAUUGGUCAAUGGGCGAGAGCCUGAACCAGCCAAGUAGCGUGCCAGGAUGACUGCCCUAUGGGGUUGUAAACUGCUUUUAUACGGGGAUAAAGUGAGGUAUGCAUACCUUUUUGUAGGUACCGUAUGAAUAAGGACCGGCUAAUUCCGUGCCAGCAGCCGC
This 421-nucleotide ribosomal RNA is filed under the name uncultured bacterium. Its description in RNAcentral is "bacterial SSU rRNA". It matches the Rfam family "Bacterial small subunit ribosomal RNA", at positions 102 to 518 of the family's 1533-position model. The record is from RNAcentral.